UACAGAGGCCUCGAGCGUUAGGCGGAAUCACUGGGCUUAAAGCGUGCGUAGGCGGAUUGGUAAGUAGCUUGUGAAAUCCCACAGCUUAACUGUGGAACUGCUCGGUAUACUGCUGAUCUUGAGCCACUCAGGGGCUACCGGAACAAAUGGUGGAGCGGUGAAAUGCGUAGAUAUCAUUUGGAACGCCAAUGGUGAAAACAGGUAGCUGGGGGUGUGCUGACGCUGAGACACGAAAGCCAGGGGAGCAAACGGG
This 253-nucleotide ribosomal RNA is filed under the name uncultured bacterium. Its description in RNAcentral is "partial 16S ribosomal RNA". It matches the Rfam family "Bacterial small subunit ribosomal RNA", at positions 524 to 776 of the family's 1533-position model. The record is from RNAcentral.